This 336-nucleotide unclassified non-coding RNA is filed under the name soil metagenome. RNAcentral describes it as "partial contains 5.8S ribosomal RNA, internal transcribed spacer 2, and large subunit ribosomal RNA". The stretch from base 1 to 120 matches the Rfam family "5.8S ribosomal RNA", at positions 35 to 154 of the family's 154-position model. The record is from RNAcentral.
GAUGAAGAACGUAGCGAAAUGCGAUAAGUAAUGUGAAUUGCAGAAUUCAGUGAAUCAUCGAAUCUUUGAACGCACAUUGCGCCCGCCAGUAUUCUGGCGGGCAUGCCUGUUCGAGCGUCAUUUCAACCAUCAAGCUCCCGGGCUUGCGUUGGGGCCCUGCGGCUGCCGCAGGCCCCUAAAACCAGUGGCGGGCUCGCUGUCACACCGAGCGCAGUAGCAUUUCUUCGCUCUGGGCGCGGCGGCGGGCGCUUGCCGUAAAACAGACUACUUUUUAAAGGUUGACCUCGGAUCAGGUAGGAAUACCCGCUGAACUGAAGCAUAUCAAUAAGCGGAGGA